AUUGAACGCUGGCGGAAUGCUUUACACAUGCAAGUCGAGCGGCAGCGCGGGGCAACCUGGCGGCGAGCGGCGAACGGGUGAGUAAUGCAUCGGAACGUACCCAGUCGUGGGGGAUAACGUGGCGAAAGUCACGCUAAUACCGCAUACGUCCUGAGGGAGAAAGCGGGGGGUCGCAAGACCUCGCGCGAUUGGAGCGGCCGAUGUCUGAUUAGCUAGUUGGUGGGGUAAAGGCUCACCAAGGCGACGAUCAGUAGCUGGUCUGAGAGGACGACCAGCCACACUGGGACUGAGACACGGCCCAGACUCCUACGGGAGGCAGCAGUGGGGAAUUUUGGACAAUGGGCGAAAGCCUGAUCCAGCCAUUCCGCGUGAGUGAAGAAGGCCUCGGUUGUAAGACGUCUUUCGGUCUAGGAACGAAACGGUAGUAGGGCGUAAGUAUACCUGCAUCAAUGACGGUACCGUCGAAGAAGAAGACACCGGC
RNAcentral lists this ribosomal RNA (481 nucleotides) under uncultured bacterium. RNAcentral describes it as "bacterial SSU rRNA". It matches the Rfam family "Bacterial small subunit ribosomal RNA", at positions 29 to 515 of the family's 1533-position model. The record is from RNAcentral.